GUCUAGCCUGCUCACUGAUAAUUAAUAUUAAAUAGCCGCGGUAUCUUGACCGUGCAAAGGUAGCAUAAUCAUUAGUUUUUUAAUUGGAAACUCGUAUGAAUGGUUGGACAAAGAAGAAACUGUCUCUCUUGUUAAAGUUGAAUUUAACUUCUAAGUGAAAAGGCUUAGAUUGUCUAGAGGGACGAUAAGACCCUAUAAAGCUUUAUAAAUUUAGGGAUUUUAUAAAUUUUUAAAUAACAAUAAUUUUUCGAUUAUUUAUUUGGUUGGGGCGACAAUAGUAUAAUGAAAGUAACUGCUUUUAGAUAAAACAUGAGUAUGUGAGUCAUAUUUAAUUGAUCCUUUUUAAAGAUUUUAAGAUCAAGUUACUUUAGGGAUAACAGCGUUAUUUCUUCUGAGAGUUCUUAUCAAAGGAGAAGUUUGCGACCUCGAUGUUGAAUUAAAAUGUCUAUGUAGUGCAGCAGCUACACAAGAAGGUCUGUUCGACCUUUAAUAUUUUACAUGAUUUGAGUUCAGACCGGCGGGAGCCAGGUCGGUUUCUAUCUUCUAGAAAAAUAAAGACCACUUUAGUACGAAAGGAUUGAGUGGUCAAAAUUCUUUUCACAUCUGAAAU
Molecule: ribosomal RNA, 610 nt
Filed under: Thalamita integra
Lineage: Eukaryota; Metazoa; Arthropoda; Malacostraca; Decapoda; Portunidae
Description: partial 16S ribosomal RNA
Rfam family: Bacterial large subunit ribosomal RNA
Source: RNAcentral